GACGAACGCUGGCGGCGUGCUUAACACAUGCAAGUCGAACGAAGUGGCGAACGGGUGAGUAAUACGUGGGUAACCUGCCCUCCUUUUUGGGAUAAGCCUUGGAAACGGGGUCUAAUACCGAAUAAAGGGGGAUGGGUUCGCGGCCUAUCAGUUUGUUGGUGGGGUGAUGGCCUACCAAGGCGGUGACGGGUAGCCGGCCUGAGAGGGUGACCGGGCACAUGGGAAGGGAGAGACGGCCCAGAGACCUACGGGAGGGAGCAGUGGGGGAUAUUGCACAAUGGGCGAAAGGCUGAUGCAGCGACGCCGCGUGGGGGAUGAAGGCUUUCGGGUUGUAAACCUCUGUCGCUAUCGAACGGGUAGCUGGAUAAGAAGCGCCGGCUAACUACGUGCCAGCAGCCGCGGUAAUAC
This 408-nucleotide ribosomal RNA is filed under the name uncultured bacterium. Its description in RNAcentral is "partial 16S ribosomal RNA". It matches the Rfam family "Bacterial small subunit ribosomal RNA", at positions 28 to 526 of the family's 1533-position model. The record is from RNAcentral.